CGCGUAGGCGGCAUUGCAAGUCGGAUGUGAAAUCCCCGGGCUUAACUCGGGAAUUGCAUCCGAAACUGCUUUGCUUGAGUCCUGAAGGGGGUAGUGGAAUUCCCAGUGUAGCGGUGAAAUGCGUAGAUAUUGGGAGGAACACCGGUGGCGAAGGCGGCUACCUGGACAGUGACUGACGCUGAGGCGCGAAAGCUAGGGGAGCGAACGGGAUUAGAUACCCCGGUAGUCCUAGCCGUAAACGAUGGGCACUUGGUGUUGGGGGUAUUGAGUCCCCCGGUGCCGGAGCUAACGCGUUAAGUGCCCCGCCUGGGGAGUACGGUCGCAAGACUGAA
This 332-nucleotide ribosomal RNA is filed under the name uncultured bacterium. Its description in RNAcentral is "bacterial SSU rRNA". It matches the Rfam family "Bacterial small subunit ribosomal RNA", at positions 568 to 898 of the family's 1533-position model. The record is from RNAcentral.